AACGCGAAGAACCUUACCAGCUUUUGACAUGUCCUGGACGGAUUGCAGAGAUGCGAUCUUCCCUUCGGGGCCGGGAACACAGGUGCUGCAUGGCUGUCGUCAGCUCGUGUCGUGAGAUGUUGGGUUAAGUCCCGCAACGAGCGCAACCCUCGCCCUUAGUUGCCAUCAUUCAGUUGGGCACUCCAGGGGGACUGCCGGUGAUAAGCCGGAGGAAGGUGGGGAUGACGUCAAGUCCUCAUGGCCCUUACAGGCUGGGCUACACACGUGCUACAAUGGCGGUGACAGCGGGAGGCGAAGGGGCGACCCUGAGCAAAUCUCGAAAAGCCGUCUCAGUUCGGAUUGCACUCUGCAACUCGAGUGCAUGAAGUCGGAAUCGCUAGUAAUCGCGGAUCAGCACGCCGCGGUGAAUACGUUCCCGGGCCUUGUACACACCGGCUAC
This 439-nucleotide ribosomal RNA is filed under the name uncultured bacterium. RNAcentral describes it as "bacterial SSU rRNA". It matches the Rfam family "Bacterial small subunit ribosomal RNA", at positions 958 to 1397 of the family's 1533-position model. The record is from RNAcentral.